UAAAAUUGAGAAUGGAAAUGGGGAAUGUGUCAAACAGACAACAACCCGCCCAAAUAAAAAACAACAGCAGAGGGUCACCAACAGGUCUUUAAUGUAGCGAGAAAUUCCCGCACCCGGAGGCGUCCUUCAGCUGGCCCCUAAACAAAUAUAUACUAGUCCAGUGAUAAUGAACGCCAUACUAAUUUCCAAAUUGUACACAAGAAACUAAAAUUAAAAUAAUACAAGACUAACAAAGGCCAG
RNAcentral lists this long non-coding RNA (240 nucleotides) under Mytilus galloprovincialis (Mediterranean mussel). Lineage: Eukaryota; Metazoa; Mollusca; Bivalvia; Mytilida; Mytilidae. The record is from RNAcentral.